UAGAGUUUGAUCCUGGCUCAGAGUGAACGCUGGCGGCGUGCUUAACACAUGCAAGUCGAACGAGAACGGAACAUAGCUUGCUAUGUUUGUCAGCUAAGUGGCGGACGGGUGAGUAAUGUAUAGCUAAUGUGCCCCUUGGAGAGGGAUAACAGUUGGAAACGACUGCUAAUACCUCAUACUCCUUCUAUGUUAAUCAUAGUUGGGAAAUGUUUUUUCGCCAAGGGAUCGGGCUAUAUGGUAUCAGCUAGUUGGUGAGGUAAUGGCUCACCAAGGCAAUGACGCCUAGCUGGUCUGAGAGGAUGAUCAGCCACACUGGGACUGAGACACGGCCCAUACUCCUACGGGAGGCAGCAGUAGAGAAUCUUCCGCAAUGGACGAAAGUCUGACGGAGCGACACCGCGUGGUGGAUGACACCCUUAGGGGCGUAAACACCUUUUAUGAGGGAAGAAAUUCUGACGGUACCUCAUGAAUAAGGACCGGCUAAUUACGUGCCAGCAGCCGCGGUAAUACGUAAGGUCCAAGCGUUAACCGGAAUUAUUGGGCGUAGAGCGUCCGCAGGCGGUUUGUUAAGUUGAUUAUUAUAUACCGAAGCUCAACUUCGGUGCUGUAGUCAAAACUGGCAAACUAGAGAUAUGGAGAGGUGCGUGGAAUUGUGCAAGUAGGGGUAAAAUCCGUAGAUAUGCAUAGGAACACCAAAAGCGAAGGCAGCGCACUGGCCAUUAUCUGACGCUCAUGGACGAAAGCGUGGGGAGCGAAAGGGAUUAGAUACCCCUGUAGUCCACGCCGUAAACGAUGCGUGCUCGAUGUUAGGACCCUCGACCUGGUCUUAGUGUCUAAGAUAACUCGAUAAGCACGCCGCCUGUGUAGUACGAUCGCAAGAUUAAAACACAAAGGAAUAGACGGGGACCCACACAAGCGGUGGAUUGCGGGGUUUAAUUCGAUAAUAAGCGAGUAACCUUACCCAGGCUUGACAUCCUAAUUAUAUUUUCUAGAGAUAGAGAAGUCGGUUCGGCCGGAUUAGUGACAGGCGCUGCAUGGUUGUCGUCAGCUCGUGCCUUGAGGUGUACGGUUAAGUCCGCGAACGAGCGCAACCCUCAUCAUAUGUUGCAUUUUCAUGUGAGACUGCCGAUCAUAAAUCGGAGGAAGGUGAGGAUGACGUCAAAUCAGCAUGGCCCUUAUGCCUGGGGCUACACCCACAAUACAAUGGCUAGUACAAACUGAAGCGAAGCAGCGAUGCGGAGCGAAUCGGAGAAAACUAGUCUCAGUUCGGAUUGAAGUCUGAAACUCGACUUCAUGAAGCUGGAAUCGCUAGUAAACGUGUAUCAGUCAUGGCACGUUGAAUAUGUUCCUGGGUCUUGUACUCACCGCCCGUCAAGGCAUGGAAGUUGGGAGCACCCAAAGUCUGCGAAUUAAUCGUGGCCUAAGGUGAGUUCAAUAACUGGGCUUAAGUCGUAACAAGGUAACCG
Molecule: ribosomal RNA, 1466 nt
Filed under: uncultured Nitratifractor sp.
Lineage: Bacteria; Pseudomonadati; Campylobacterota; Epsilonproteobacteria; Campylobacterales; Sulfurovaceae
Description: partial 16S ribosomal RNA
Rfam family: Bacterial small subunit ribosomal RNA
Source: RNAcentral